CAGCGCCACGAGUGGGAACUACAAUUAUUGGGCCUAAAGCGUCCGUAGCCUGUUUAGUAAAUUUCUUGUGAAAUUGUUGAGCUUAACUUAACAACGUGCAGGAAAGACUGCUAAACUUGGGACUGGGAGGGGUUAGAAGUAUUUUUGGGGUAGCGGUAAAAUGUUAUAAUCCCAAAGAGACUACCUAUGGCGAAAGCAUCUAACCAGAACAGGUCCGACGGUGAGGGACGAAAGCUAGGGGAGCAAAACGGAUUAGAUACCCGAGUAGUCC
This 271-nucleotide ribosomal RNA is filed under the name uncultured archaeon. RNAcentral describes it as "partial 16S ribosomal RNA". It matches the Rfam family "Archaeal small subunit ribosomal RNA", at positions 477 to 747 of the family's 1478-position model. The record is from RNAcentral.